This 468-nucleotide ribosomal RNA is filed under the name uncultured bacterium. RNAcentral describes it as "partial 16S ribosomal RNA". It matches the Rfam family "Bacterial small subunit ribosomal RNA", at positions 28 to 507 of the family's 1533-position model. The record is from RNAcentral.
GACGAACGCUGGCGGCGUGCUUAACACAUGCAAGUCGAACGGAAAGGCCCUGCUUUUGUGGGGUGCUCGAGUGGCGAACGGGUGAGUAACACGUGAGUAACCUGCCCUUGACUUUGGGAUAACUUCAGGAAACUGGGGCUAAUCCCGGAUAGGAGCUCCUGCUGCAUGGUGGGGGUUGGAAAGUUUCGGCGGUUGGGGAUGGACUCGCGGCUUAUCAGCUUGUUGGUGGGGUAGUGGCUUACCAAGGCUUUGACGGGUAGCCGGCCUGAGAGGGUGACCGGGCACAUGGGGACUGAGAGACGGCCCAGACUCCAACGGGAGGCAGUAGUGGGGAGUAUUGCACAAUGGGCGGAAGCCGGAGGAAGCAGCGCCGCGGGUGGGAUGACGGCUUGCUGGGUGUAAACCGCUUUCGCCUGUGACGAAGCUGGAGUGACGGUAAUGGGUAAAGAAGCACCGACUAACUACGUG